RNAcentral lists this microRNA (23 nucleotides) under Tetraodon nigroviridis (spotted green pufferfish). Its description in RNAcentral is "Tni-Mir-723-P1_3p (mature (guide))". The record is from RNAcentral. Lineage: Eukaryota; Metazoa; Chordata; Actinopteri; Tetraodontiformes; Tetraodontidae.
AGACAUCAGAUAAAUCUGCGCUU